GACGAACGCUGGCGGCGCGCCUAACACAUGCAAGUCGAACGAGCGAGAGAGAGCUUGCUUUCUCGAGCGAGUGGCGAACGGGUGAGUAACGCGUGAGGAACCUGCCUCAAAGAGGGGGACAACAGUUGGAAACGACGGCUAAUACCGCAUAAGCCCACGACCCGCCCUCGGGUAGAGGGAAAAGGAGCAAUCCGCUUUGAGAUGGCCUCGCGUCCGAUUCGCUAGUUGGUGAGGUAACGGCCCACCAAGGCGACGAUCGGUAGCCGGACUGAGAGGUUGAACGGCCACACUGGGACUGAGCCACGGCCCAGACUCCUACGGGAGGCAGCAGUGGGGAAUAGUGCACAAUGGCGUGAACGCUGAUGCAGCGACGCCGCGUGGAGGAAGAAGGUCUUCGGAUUGUAAUCUCCUGUUGUUGAGGAAGAUAAUGACGGUACUCAACAAGGAAGUGACGGCUAACUACGUG
This 466-nucleotide ribosomal RNA is filed under the name uncultured bacterium. RNAcentral's name for it is "partial 16S ribosomal RNA". It matches the Rfam family "Bacterial small subunit ribosomal RNA", at positions 28 to 507 of the family's 1533-position model. The record is from RNAcentral.